GGAAGGAUCAUUGAAUCAAUCAAACCACACCGUGAACCGUCUUGUCUCCCCCUGUGGUGCCCCUCACCGGGCGCUCUGGGCGGUUAGGCCCUCGGGCUUAGCCGGGCGCGGCACCCCGCUUCGCGGCGGGUCGGCGCGUCGGCGCUUUCAAUACACUCCACACAAAAACAACGUCUAAAGCUACUUAGAAUUGGCACCGCCGACUCUAACAACCAAAGACAACUCUCAACAACGGAUAUCUUGGCUCUUGCAACGAUGAAGAACGCAGCGAAAUGCGAUACGUAGUGUGAAUUGCAGAAUUCCGUGAACCAUCGAAUCUUUGAACGCAUAUUGCGCUCGAGGCCUCGGCCAAGAGCACGCCUGCCUCAGAGUCGGUUAAACCCCUCACUCCCCCCUCCCCCUUUGCAAAAAGGGGCCGGGCGGGCGGUGGAACUGGCGGUCUCAGCGCCUCGCGCUGGGUCCGCUGAAGCAUAGAGACUCGGCCGGGACCCACACAUGGGCAAACACUAGGUAGGUAGCCCUCGGGUUAUUCCUGUGGAUGUCCGUGGCCCGGGCGUGGUCCUUCAGCAGGAAAACAACUUAACCAUUCGACCUGAGUUCAGACGAGAACACCCGCUGAACUUAAGCAUAUCAAUAAGCGGAGGAAAAGAAACUAACUAGGAUUCCCUUAGUAACGGCGAGUGAAAAGGGAAAAGCCCAACUUGAAAAUCUGCAGGCCCCGCCUGUCGAAUUGUAGUCUAUAGAAGCAACCUCUGAGGCGAGCCUGGGUCAAGUUCCCUGGAAGGGGACGUCAGAGAGGGUGAGAACCCCGUCACCCAGCGCUUUAGCCUCUCCACGAGAUGCUUUCACCGAGUCGGGUUGGUUGGGAAUCCAGCCCUAAUUGGGAGGUACAUCCCUCCUAAGGCUAAAUACCGGCAAGAGACCGAUAGCGAACAAGUACCGCGAGGGAAAGAUGAAAAGACCUUUGAAAAGAGAGUUAAAAAGUGCUUGAAAUUGUUGAGGGGGAAUUGUAUCAAAGGCGUGGGUGCGCCUAGGCUGUAUGUCGACUCUAACCGGUCGGCCCCUCAGUGCUAGGCGCUGGUCAGCAUGGAUUAGCUUAGCGGGACAAAAGCGGGGGUUGCUACUCCGCCUAUGCCGCUUCGCUGAUCGAGGAUUAAGAGCGCUUUGCCUUCGGAGCUGCGUUCUCAUGAUGCUGGCGGAAGCCUUUGAUACAGCCCGUCUUGAAACACGGACCAAGGAGUCUAACAUGUAUGCGAGUUGGUGGGUGGAAAACCCAUGAAGCGUAAGGAAACUAACUGGUGGGAUGGCCUGUGCCUGCACCAUCGACCGACCAUGAUCUUCUGUGAAAGGUUUGAGUACGAGCAUACCUGUUGGGACCCGAAAGAUGGUGAACUAUGCCUGAGCAGGGCGAAGCCAGAGGAAACUCUGGUGGAGGCUCGUAGAUGUGCUGACGUGCAAAUCGCUUUUCGGACUUGGGUAUAGGGGCGAAAGACUAAUCGAACCAUCUAGUAGCUGGUUCCCUC
This 1523-nucleotide unclassified non-coding RNA is filed under the name uncultured fungus. Its description in RNAcentral is "sequence contains 18S rRNA gene, ITS1, 5.8S rRNA gene, ITS2, 28S rRNA gene". The stretch from base 589 to 1523 matches the Rfam family "Eukaryotic large subunit ribosomal RNA", at positions 1 to 961 of the family's 3401-position model. Lineage: Eukaryota; Fungi. The record is from RNAcentral.